UGGUCAGUCACUAGCCAGGUUUCCAUCCAAUUCGUGACAUAUUUUCAUGUGAAUACUCAUAAAGAAAACAUGCACAUUUUCCACCAGUGUUUCCACCAAAUUGACUUGUUUUUUCUCAUUACAAAAAUGCACUUUUUCGCUUAAGUUUUCAUGUAUCAGGCAAAUAUCUAUAAUAUAUAUUAUAUUCAUCGUAUUAGUUUACAUCAAUAUUUUUACCACCAUUUAUCACAUAAUUAUUUUUACCAACACAAAAAAGAUCUCACCAUUUUGUACGGAACAAAUGAUCUAUUGGCGUGUUCAUGAAAACGGUCCGCAAACUUCCUGUUUCCUUUACGGCUGUUAGUUUUGUUAUUUACUGUAUGACGUAUAUAUCAUGAAAAUCAAAUCAAAUGAAAUGUAUUUAUAUAGCCCUAAGAACAUCAGCUGAUAUCUCAAAGUGCUCUACAGAAACUCAGCCUAAAACCCCAAACAGCAUGCAAUGCAGGUGUAGAAGCACGGUGGCUAGGAAAAACUCCCUAGAAAGGCCAAAACCUAGGAAGAAACCUAGAGAGGAACCAGGCUAUGUGGGGUGGCCAGUCCUCUUCUGGCUGUGCCGGGUGGAGAUUAUAACAGAACAUGUCCAAGAUGUUCAAAUGUUCAUAAAUGACCAGCAUGGUCCAAUAAUAAUAAGGCAGAACAGUUGAAACUGGAGCAGCAGCACGGCCAGGUGGACUGGGGACAGCUGAGCAGGUGUUGCUAAUGUUUUCUACACUCGGUGUAUAUGCUGUCAACUAUGUCAAAAUAAGAAAACGAUAGUCAUGUUUUGGCUGUAAUGUUUUCGUUACAGCACCAAGUACUCUAUGUCAUCAAUGAAAACCACCCAUUGUAUCCAGAGGUGUAAAGUAUUUAAGUAAAAACACUUUAAAGUACUAAUUAAGUAUUUUUUUUUUGGGGGGGGGGGUUGUACUUUACUAUUUAUAUUUGUUGACUACUUUUACUUCACUACAUUCCUAAAGAAAAUAAUGUACUUUUUACUCUUUACAUUUUCCCUGACAGCCAACAUAAUUUGUUACAUUACACUAAGUUUGUAAAUGAUGUAUGAGUUUUGGUAUGUGCCCCUGGUUAUCCAUAAAUUAAAACAGAAAAAAAAAAGAAAAUGGUGCCGUCUGUUUUGCUUAAUAUAAGG
Long non-coding RNA from Oncorhynchus tshawytscha (Chinook salmon), 1165 nucleotides. Lineage: Eukaryota; Metazoa; Chordata; Actinopteri; Salmoniformes; Salmonidae. The record is from Ensembl.